This 501-nucleotide ribosomal RNA is filed under the name uncultured bacterium. RNAcentral describes it as "partial 16S ribosomal RNA". It matches the Rfam family "Bacterial small subunit ribosomal RNA", at positions 30 to 523 of the family's 1533-position model. The record is from RNAcentral.
AUUGAACGCUGGCGGCAGGCUUAACACAUGCAAGUCGAGCGGAGAUGAGGUGCUUGCACCUUAUCUUAGCGGCGGACGGGUGAGUAAUGCUUAGGAAUCUGCCUAUUAGUGGGGGACAACAUUCCGAAAGGAAUGCUAAUACCGCAUACGUCCUACGGGAGAAAGCAGGGGAUCUUCGGACCUUGCGCUAAUAGAUGAGCCUAAGUCGGAUUAGCUAGUUGGUGGGGUAAAGGCCUACCAAGGCGACGAUCUGUAGCGGGUCUGAGAGGAUGAUCCGCCACACUGGGACUGAGACACGGCCCAGACUCCUACGGGAGGCAGCAGUGGGGAAUAUUGGACAAUGGGGGGAACCCUGAUCCAGCCAUGCCGCGUGUAUGAAGAAGGCCUUAUGGUUGUAAAGCACUUUAAGCGAGGAGGAGGCUACUGAGACUAAUACUCUUGGAUAGUGGACGUUACUCGCAGAAUAAGCACCGGCUCACUCUGUGCCAGCAGCCGCAGUAA